RNAcentral lists this ribosomal RNA (380 nucleotides) under uncultured eukaryote. RNAcentral's name for it is "partial 18S ribosomal RNA". It matches the Rfam family "Eukaryotic small subunit ribosomal RNA", at positions 592 to 976 of the family's 1831-position model. The record is from RNAcentral.
CAAUAGCGUAUAUUAAAGUUGUUGCGGUUAAAAAGCUCGUAGUUGGAUUUCUGCUGAGAACGACCGGUCCGCCCUUUGGGUGUGUAUCUGGCUCUUUCUUGGCAUCUUCUUGGUGAACGUUGCUGCACUUGACUGUGUGGAGCGCUACCCAGGACUUUUACUUUGAGGAAAUUAGAGUGUUUCAAGCAGGCAUACGCCUUGAAUACAUUAGCAUGGAAUAAUAAGAUAGGACCUCGGUUCUAUUUUGUUGGUUUCUAGAGCUGAGGUAAUGAUUAAUAGGGAUAGUUGGGGGCAUUCGUAUUUAACUGUCAGAGGUGAAAUUCUUGGAUCGGCUAAAGACGGACAACUGCGAAANCGNNNGCCCAGGAUGUUUUCAUNGA